Molecule: non-coding RNA, 82 nt
Organism: Asterias rubens (European starfish)
Lineage: Eukaryota; Metazoa; Echinodermata; Asteroidea; Forcipulatida; Asteriidae
Source: the annotation of a RefSeq genome assembly
GUAGUCGUGGCCGAGUGGUUAAAGCGACAGACUUGAAAUCUGUCAGUGUCUACCCGCUCAGGUUCGAACCCUGCCAACUACG